RNAcentral lists this long non-coding RNA (749 nucleotides) under Homo sapiens (human). RNAcentral describes it as "HSALNT0278876". Lineage: Eukaryota; Metazoa; Chordata; Mammalia; Primates; Hominidae. The record is from RNAcentral.
GCCUGGGGGCAUCCCUGUGCCAGCUGGGUGAACAUGGCUGGUCACUGUCCCAUUCUGAGUUCAGCCUCUUUCUAGAACAAGAAGGGAGGUGGCACCAGCCAGGUCGCACAUCUCAGAUAUCGGACAACUGGGGAGCUGAGGUGGACCAGGAAGGGGAAGGCUUUCAGGUCUGGCUUGCUCAAGGGACUCAGCUCCUACCCCGGCCCCAGCUGUUGCUGAGCCUGAGGGCAGGUGGUGCUGCCAGGUGCCUUGUGUUGGCCUCCCUGCAUGCGUCCUGCCUGGUGGCCCAAGUUCAGCAUCCACACUUAUGCCAGCCAGUGCCCUAUACCACCCUCACCCUUCCAAGGCUCCCACAGCCUUCAGGGCUGCCCAGUGUGAGAGCUGCUGUGAGUCUAUAUGGGUAGCUUGGUUUCUCUGAUUGGGAGCAGCUUCCCCAGGGCUGGGAGCAGGACCCAGACAGUUGCUGUAAAUGCUGGUGUGUCGGCCCCUCUGGUGCUGCAUUGGUGACAUCCAGGGCCUGAUCUGCUUCCUGACAGUCCCCAGAGGGCCGCCAUCCUCAGCCCAUUUCAUGAAUGUGGAGACAGAGGCUCAGAGAGGUAGAGUGACUUUCCCAAGGCCACACAGCAGGCCGGGUACAGCUGGAAUGGGCGGCCAGCUCUGUCCACCCCAUGAUCUGUGGCUGUCUUGCCUUCCAGGCAGCACUGCCUGGACAGGCAAGCAAGACAUACUGGCCCUCCUGCAGUCCCCGG